AGAGUUUGAUCCUGGCUCAGAUUGAACGCUGGCGGCAUGCCUUACACAUGCAAGUCGAACGGCAGCACGGGAGCAAUCCUGGUGGCGAGUGGCGAACGGGUGAGUAAUACAUCGGAACGUGUCCUGGAGUGGGGGAUAGCCCGGCGAAAGCCGGAUUAAUACCGCAUACGCUCUGUGGAGGAAAGGGGGGAUCGCAAGACCUCUCGCUCAAGGGGCGGCCGAUGGCAGAUUAGCUAGUUGGUGGGGUAAAGGCCUACCAAGGCGACGAUCUGUAGCUGGUCUGAGAGGACGACCAGCCACACUGGGACUGAGACACGGCCCAGACUCCUACGGGAGGCAGCAGUGGGGAAUUUUGGACAAUGGGGGCAACCCUGAUCCAGCAAUGCCGCGUGUGUGAAGAAGGCCUUCGGGUUGUAAAGCACUUUUGUCCGGAAAGAAAACGUUCUCCCUAAUAUGGAGGGCGGAUGACGGUACCGGAAGAAUAAGCACCGGCUAACUACGCGCCAGCAGCCGCGGUAAUACGUAGGGUGCAAGCGUUAAUCGGAAUUACUGGGCGUAAAGCGUGCGCAGGCGGUUCGCUAAGACCGAUGUGAAAUCCCCGGGCUUAACCUGGGAACUGCAUUGGUGACUGGCGGGCUAGAGUAUGGCAGAGGGGGGUAGAAUUCCACGUGUAGCAGUGAAAUGCGUAGAGAUGUGGAGGAAUACCGAUGGCGAAGGCAGCCCCCUGGGCCAAUACUGACGCUCAUGCACGAAAGCGUGGGGAGCAAACAGGAUUAGAUACCCCAGUAGUCC
This 792-nucleotide ribosomal RNA is filed under the name uncultured bacterium. Its description in RNAcentral is "bacterial SSU rRNA". It matches the Rfam family "Bacterial small subunit ribosomal RNA", at positions 8 to 796 of the family's 1533-position model. The record is from RNAcentral.